This 429-nucleotide ribosomal RNA is filed under the name Actinomycetes bacterium. Its description in RNAcentral is "Actinobacteria bacterium partial 16S ribosomal RNA". It matches the Rfam family "Bacterial small subunit ribosomal RNA", at positions 355 to 776 of the family's 1533-position model. Lineage: Bacteria; Bacillati; Actinomycetota; Actinomycetes. The record is from RNAcentral.
UAGGGAAUCUUCCGCAAUGGGCGAAAGCCUGACGGAGCAACGCCGCGUGAGUGAUGAAGGUCUUCGGAUCGUAAAACUCUGUUAUUAGGGAAGAACAAAUGUGUAAGUAACUAUGCACGUCUUGACGGUACCUAAUCAGAAAGCCACGGCUAACUACGUGCCAGCAGCCGCGGUAAUACGUAGGUGGCAAGCGUUAUCCGGAAUUAUUGGGCGUAAAGCGCGCGUAGGCGGUUUUUUAAGUCUGAUGUGAAAGCCCACGGCUCAACCGUGGAGGGUCAUUGGAAACUGGAAAACUUGAGUGCAGAAGAGGAAAGUGGAAUUCCAUGUGUAGCGGUGAAAUGCGCAGAGAUAUGGAGGAACACCAGUGGCGAAGGCGACUUUCUGGUCUGUAACUGACGCUGAUGUUCGAAAGCGUGGGGAUCAAACAGG